This 445-nucleotide ribosomal RNA is filed under the name uncultured bacterium. Its description in RNAcentral is "partial 16S ribosomal RNA". It matches the Rfam family "Bacterial small subunit ribosomal RNA", at positions 354 to 796 of the family's 1533-position model. The record is from RNAcentral.
GUGAGGAAUAUUGGACAAUGGGCGCAAGCCUGAUCCAGCCAUGCCGCGUGCAGGAAGACGCAUCUAUGGUGUGUAAACUGCUUUUGUACGGGAAGAAACACUCCCUCGUGAGGGAGCUUGACGGUACCGUAAGAAUAAGGAUCGGCUAACUCCGUGCCAGCAGCCGCGGUAAUACGGAGGAUCCAAGCGUUAUCCGGAAUCAUUGGGUUUAAAGGGUCCGUAGGCGGUUUAAUAAGUCAGUGGUGAAAGCCCAUCGCUCAACGAUGGAACGGCCAUUGAUACUGUUAGACGUGAAUUACAAGGAAGUAACUAGAAUAUGUAGUGUAGCGGUGAAAUGCUUAGAUAUUACAUGGAAUACCAAUUGCGAAGGCAGGUUACUACUUGUGGAUUGACGCUGAUGGACGAAAGCGUGGGGAGCGAACAGGAUUAGAAACCCCUGUAGUCC